AGCCCUUCAUGUCUGCCAUGCCUCCUGCCUUCCCCAGCAAUCAUUCAUUGACAAAGCGACAAUGGAAGAAAACGUCGCUUGGAUUCUUAUCUUCACCGCAUGCACAGCCUCAUCGCCAGGAUGACAAUUAACAGAGGGUGCAGAGAAGCAUUUACACCUCCGACAGCGCCUGGCAAUGGUGUAUGAGAUCAUCUAGAGAGUACCAUAUGCUUCUCCACCUAACCAACGCACUGCCUAGCUUGUACCAUCUGUCACAGAAACGCUCCUCCCCACCAUGGGCAUCACCACAAGCCGCUCUGAGGACUUCGUUAUCCAUGUGUGUCGUUUACAUCUCACACAAGUCCUCCCUCAUACUCCCCUCUUCCCAACAGGCCAGUCAGGAUUCUCUGCUAAACUUUAUCAAUUUAUUUUGUUGCAUCUGCUUUUGUUUUAAUUUGCUUUUUCCAUAUUAGAGGAUUUGAGGGGAAUUCACUGUUGGUAUGGCAGCUGGAAGGCCCCACCUGUUUGUUGUGGAUGGAGACAUUUUUAAGCUCUGAUGUCUAUUCAGGGUAGACAUAUUCUGUAAUUAACAUGUGCUGUAGGGCUGUCACCUUUAAUUCGAACUGGAACUAAUGUUUGAACAUGGGAAAUAAUUAAAUAUUUGAUCUGUAAUGAUCUGUCCCAAUUCAGAAUUCACACUCUGUAAGUACAGGAAGUCGUGCCUUAUACUCGAGAUCAUCAAUAAAUCAUUUUCAGUCUUUUUAGUCUUCUAUUAUAGUACACUGAAUGUUUCUGGGUUUGGGGGCAUUGGCAAAAACA
This is a long non-coding RNA of Xiphias gladius (swordfish), 798 nucleotides long. RefSeq lists it as uncharacterized. NCBI's taxonomy places the organism in Eukaryota, Metazoa, Chordata, Actinopteri, Istiophoriformes, Xiphiidae. The record is from RefSeq and is a predicted model, not a curated record. The transcript has 3 exons.